RNAcentral lists this ribosomal RNA (440 nucleotides) under uncultured bacterium. RNAcentral describes it as "partial 16S ribosomal RNA". It matches the Rfam family "Bacterial small subunit ribosomal RNA", at positions 338 to 795 of the family's 1533-position model. The record is from RNAcentral.
CCUACGGGCGGCUGCAGUGGGGAAUAUUGCACAAUGGGGGAAACCCUGAUGCAGCGACGCCGCGUGAGUGAAGAAGUAUUUCGGUAUGUAAAGCUCUAUCAGCAGGGAAGAACAUGAAGGUACCUGAUUAAGAAGCCACGGCUAACUACGUGCCAGCAGCCGCGGUAAUACGGAGGGGGCAAGCGUUCGCCGGAUGUACUGGGUGUAAAGGGAGCGUAGACGGCAGGACAUGUCGCGCGUGAAAUGCCGGGGCUUAACCCGGGAACUGCUUUUGAAACUGUGCAGCUAGAGUGCAUGAGAGGUAAGUGGAAUUCCUAGUGUAGGGGUGAAAUGCGUAGAUAUUAGGAGGAACACCAGUGGCGAAGGCGGCUAACUGGACUGUAACUGACGUUGAGGAGCGAAAGCGUGGGGAGCAAACAGGAUUAGAUACCCCGGUAGUC